RNAcentral lists this ribosomal RNA (103 nucleotides) under uncultured bacterium. RNAcentral describes it as "partial 16S ribosomal RNA". The record is from RNAcentral.
AUGAAGGCCCUCUGGGUUGUAAACUUCUUUUAUCUGGGACGAAAAAAGGGAAUUCUUUCCCACUUGACGGUACCAUAGGAAUAAGCACUGGCUAACUCCGUGC